RNAcentral lists this transfer RNA (57 nucleotides) under Bos taurus (domestic cattle). It matches the Rfam family "tRNA", at positions 8 to 63 of the family's 71-position model. From Rfam's summary of the family: Transfer RNA (tRNA) molecules are approximately 80 nucleotides in length. RNAcentral also lists the same sequence under 5 other names. Lineage: Eukaryota; Metazoa; Chordata; Mammalia; Artiodactyla; Bovidae. The record is from Rfam by way of RNAcentral.
UAGCUCAGAUGGUAAAGCAUCUGCCUGCAACGCGGGAGACCCGGGUUCGAUCCCUGG